AGAGUUUGAUCAUGGCUCAGAACGAACGCUGGCGGCGUGGAUAAGACAUGCAAGUCGAACGAGAUUACUUUUAGUAGUAAUACCGAGAGUGAUUUAGUGGCGAACGGGUGCGUAACACGUGGGCAAUCUGCCUUAAAGUGGGGGAUAGCUCGGCGAAAGCCGAAUUAAUACCGCAUAUGAUCAGCCAAGACAUCUUGGCGAAAUUAAAGUUGGCGCAAGCUAACGCUUUUAGAGGAGCCCGCGGCCUAUCAGCUAGUUGGUGAGGUAACGGCUCACCAAGGCUAUGACGGGUAGCUGGUCUGAGAGGACGACCAGUCACACUGGAACUGAGACACGGUCCAGACACCUACGGGUGGCAGCAGUCGAGAAUUUUUGACAAUGGGGGAAACCCUGAUCGAGCGACGCCGCGUGGAGGAUGAAGGUCUUCGGGUUGUAAACUCCUGUCAUUUGGGAACAAGGUGCACCGGUUAACUGCCGGAGUAUUGAUAGUACCAGAAGAGGAAGAGACGGCUAACUCUGUGCCAGCAGCCGCGGUAAUACAGAGGUCUCAAGCGUUGUUCGGAUUCAUUGGGCGUAAAGGGUGCGUAGGUGGCGCCGUAAGUCGGGUGUGAAAUUUCGAGGCUUAACCUCGAAACUGCAUUCGAUACUGCGGUGCUUGAGGACUGGAGAGGAGACUGGAAUUCAUGGUGUAGCAGUGAAAUGCGUAGAGAUCAUGAGGAAGACCAGUGGCGAAGGCGGGUCUCUGGACAGUUCCUGACACUGAGGCACGAAGGCCAGGGGAGCAAACGGGAUUAGAUACCCCAGUAGUCC
This 810-nucleotide ribosomal RNA is filed under the name uncultured bacterium. Its description in RNAcentral is "bacterial SSU rRNA". It matches the Rfam family "Bacterial small subunit ribosomal RNA", at positions 8 to 796 of the family's 1533-position model. The record is from RNAcentral.